Gopherus evgoodei (Goodes thornscrub tortoise) is the source of this 530-nucleotide non-coding RNA. NCBI's taxonomy places the organism in Eukaryota, Metazoa, Chordata, Testudines, Testudinidae. The record is from the annotation of a RefSeq genome assembly.
GGAUCUGGCUGUUUUCUCCCAAGGGACGAAAUCUCCUCACCAUGCUCUGGGCUCCCCUCAUCGUCCUACUAGGAACAUGGUGCACAGGUUCCAGCUCCCAGUCUGUGGUGACUCAGCUGCCCUCAGUGUCAGUGUCCCCAGGAAACACCGUGAAACUCUCCUGCACCAUGAGCAGUGGGACCAGCAUCAGUGACUAUGUUGUGUCCUGGUACCAGCAGAAACCUGGGAAUUCUCCACGAUACCUGCUGUAUUACUAUUCGGAUUCCAACAAGGGCCAGGGCUCCGGGGUCCCGGCUCGCUUCUCUGGUUCCAAAGACACGUCCAGUAACACCGGCUAUCUGACCAUCUCUGGGGCCCUGGCAGAGGAUGAAGCUGAUUAUUACUGUGCUAUGUGGAAGAGUGGCACUGCUGUUCUACACAGUGACACAGACAGAUGGGGAAGUGAGACAAAAACACCCUUCGCUCCUCUCCCCCAACCUGGGCCCUGUGUGCAAAGUUCACCCUCUGCACAGUUUUGUCUCUGGCUGUGA